GAGCGAGAAAGGGGCUUCGGCCCUGAGUACAGCGGCGCACGGGUGAGUAACACGUGGGUAAUCUGCCCUAGAGUGGGGAAUAACACCGGGAAACCGGUGCUAAUACCGCAUACGAUCGCGAUGUCUUCGGAUGUUGUGAUGAAAGGAGCAAUUCGCUCUUGGAGGAGCCCGCGGCUGAUUAGCUAGUUGGUGAGGUAACGGCUCACCAAGGCAACGAUCAGCAGCCGGUCUGAGAGGACGGUCGGCCACACUGGAACUGAGACACGGUCCAGACUCCUACGGGAGGCAGCAGUGGGGAAUUUUUCGCAAUGGGGGCAACCCUGACGAAGCAACGCCGCGUGGGUGAUGAAGUCUCUUGGGACGUAAAACCCUUUCGACGGGGAAGAAACCGCAAGGUUGACGGUACCCGUAGAAGAAGCCCCGGCUAACUCCGUGCCAGCAGCCGCGGUAAUACGGGGGGGGCAAGCGUUGUUCGGAAUUACUGGGCGUAAAGGGCGCGUAGGCGGUCCGCUAAGUUGAAUGUGAAAACUCUGGGCUUAACCCAGAGCCUGCAUUCAAUACUGGCGGGCUAGAGUUCUGGAGGGGAUAGCGGAAUUCCUGGUGUAGCGGUGAAAUGCGUAGAUAUCAGGAGGAACACCGGUGGCGAAGGCGGCUAUCUGGACAGAGUCUGACGCUGAGGCGCGAAAGCUAGGGGAGCAAACAGGAUUAGAUACCCUGGUAGUCCUAGCCCUAAACGAUGGAUACUUGCUGUGACUGGGAUUGAAUCCAGUCGUGGCGAAGCUAACGCAU
Molecule: ribosomal RNA, 789 nt
Filed under: uncultured bacterium
Lineage: Bacteria
Description: bacterial SSU rRNA
Rfam family: Bacterial small subunit ribosomal RNA
Source: RNAcentral